AUGAACUUAAAGGGGUACUCCGGUUGCCAAUGUGUUUUUUCAGUUUCUACUUUCUACUUACCCUUGCAGGGGUGUGGAAAAGGGGCAAAACCAUUGCAGGAGAACAAAAACAGCAACGCCUGCAGCACUGACGUCUUGUCGACAACAGUGAACAAACUACUGAACUUCAGUCACAUAAAAGAGGGAACACUUUACAGACUUUCAGGGUACCUAAAGUUUAAAAGAAAAAAUCCGACUUCCGGUUCCGGUGCCAUGGUAUAAGGUCGCACGGAACACCAGCUCCCGGCCCUCC
This is a long non-coding RNA of Hyla sarda, 292 nucleotides long. RefSeq lists it as uncharacterized. The transcript has 3 exons. Lineage: Eukaryota; Metazoa; Chordata; Amphibia; Anura; Hylidae. The record is from RefSeq and is a predicted model, not a curated record.